This 73-nucleotide transfer RNA is filed under the name Nocardioides marinus. It matches the Rfam family "tRNA". From Rfam's summary of the family: Transfer RNA (tRNA) molecules are approximately 80 nucleotides in length. Their secondary structure includes four short double-helical elements and three loops (D, anti-codon, and T loops). Further hydrogen bonds mediate the characteristic L-shaped molecular structure. tRNAs have two regions of fundamental functional importance: the anti-codon, which is responsible for specific mRNA codon recognition, and the 3' end, to which the tRNAs corresponding amino acid is attached (by aminoacyl-tRNA synthetases). tRNAs cope with the degeneracy of the genetic code in two manners: having more than one tRNA (with a specific anti-codon) for a particular amino acid; and 'wobble' base-pairing, i.e. permitting non-standard base-pairing at the 3rd anti-codon position. The record is from Rfam by way of RNAcentral. Lineage: Bacteria; Bacillati; Actinomycetota; Actinomycetes; Propionibacteriales; Nocardioidaceae.
GCGCUCGUAGCCCAACGGCAGAGGCAUCAGGUUUAGGUCCUGACCAGUGAGAGUUCGAAUCUCUCCGAGCGCA